ACAAUGCAAAUUUGAAAUAAAUAGUGAAUUCAGAUUUCUAUUCUGAGCUCUUGGGUUAAUAAUUUCAAUGCAAGGGAGUCCACAAAUAUUUAUAAAAAGUUAUAUUAUGGAGGCCGCACCGGAACAAGUGGAUUGGGCGCUCCAGGAUCCAGGUUGCAAGGGGUUCCAAAAUGCCAAGUGCGAGAAAGAAUUUCGCGUUUUAAGUGUUGAUUAUUGAAAUACAAUUUAAGUUUUGGAAAAAAAAGCGCCGAAAGACGAUCUGGCUCUAUAUUGAUUUGGGGGUAGUGGAAGUAUCAUAUACACAACACAGUAUCGGUAUAAACUGUACCACGAAGAAGCCUUGAUAUUUGAGAGUUUUUUGUUUUGUUUUUUAUUAUAGUUAGGGAGCAGAUAAGAAAUCUGAGUUCUCUAUGAAAUUAAGCAUUUAAAUAAUACAGCUUAUUAUUAAUUACA
Chrysoperla carnea is the source of this 453-nucleotide long non-coding RNA. RefSeq lists it as uncharacterized. The record is from RefSeq and is a predicted model, not a curated record. The transcript is spliced from 2 exons. Lineage: Eukaryota; Metazoa; Arthropoda; Insecta; Neuroptera; Chrysopidae.